GAAGGGGAAGAAAAGAGAAUCGUGAGAUUUUGCAAUCAAACUCAUACCCCUCCUAACUCUCCGCUCAUGUAUGUAUAUUUUGUUCAACUUCAACCCCACAAUCCACAUGAUCAUGAUGACGAUGCCCAUGUCUUUCUCUCUCUUCUUCUCUUACACUCUUCUCAUAGUUUCCUCUUUCUUCCUUCCAAUCAAAUUCAUCCACUUCUAAUCAGACAAAAACCUCAGUGGUUAUAAGUCCAUUCGUUUCUUCCACUUCUACACAAUUUUCGACACAACAAAUUAACACCUUUUUUCUGCUCAUUCUCACUGCCACAAUCACUUUUCCCAACUAAUCCUCAAAUUCAAGAACCUGGGUCAUGGUUCACGGGUGCUGUAUAGUUUAAUAGCCUCAGCUGUGCCCCAUUCUAUACGCAACUUUUUACGCUCAAACCUCAACAUAUAUAUUGUUACAUACCUUCUUUUCCUCCUUCAUUUUUUUUUUUCUCUUGGAAAGUGAUGGAAAUGAAAGAAAUUCCGGAGUUGAAUUUGGGUGGUUCUUCUUCUUCCGAGGCUUUGGAAUCAGAACAGAAGAAGAACAUGAGUAAUCAGAGAAUCUCGGUUUCGGAUCAUA
Cajanus cajan (pigeon pea) is the source of this 610-nucleotide non-coding RNA. The record is from RefSeq and is a predicted model, not a curated record. Lineage: Eukaryota; Viridiplantae; Streptophyta; Magnoliopsida; Fabales; Fabaceae.